UACGAAGGGGGCUAGCGUUGCUCGGAAUUACUGGGCGUAAAGCGCACGUAGGCGGCUUUGUAAGUUAGAGGUGAAAGCCUGGAGCUCAACUCCAGAAUUGCCGUUAAGACUGCAUCGCUUGAAUCCGGGAGAGGUGAGUGGAAUUCCGAGUGUAGAGGUGAAAUUCGUAGAUAUUCGGAAGAACACCAGUGGCGAAGGCGGCUCACUGGACCGGUAUUGACGCUGAGGUGCGAAAGCUUGGGGAGCAAACAGG
This 253-nucleotide ribosomal RNA is filed under the name uncultured bacterium. Its description in RNAcentral is "partial 16S ribosomal RNA". It matches the Rfam family "Bacterial small subunit ribosomal RNA", at positions 524 to 776 of the family's 1533-position model. The record is from RNAcentral.